UACGGGGGGGGCAAGCGUUGUUCGGAAUUACUGGGCGUAAAGGGCUCGUAGGUGGCCAACUAAGUCAGACGUGAAAUCCCCAGGCUCAACCUGGGAACUGCGUCUGAUACUGGAUGGCUUGAAUUCGGGAGAGGGAUGCAGAAUUCCAGGUGUAGCGGUGAAAUGCGUAGAUAUCUGGAGGAAUACCGGUGGCGAAGGCGGCAUCCUGGACCGACAUUGACGCUGAUGAGCGAAAGCUAGGGGAGCAAACGGG
Molecule: ribosomal RNA, 253 nt
Filed under: uncultured bacterium
Lineage: Bacteria
Description: partial 16S ribosomal RNA
Rfam family: Bacterial small subunit ribosomal RNA
Source: RNAcentral